AACUUGUCAACCACUUUGGGAGUCAUUUUUCAAUGUGGCUUGGAUGUGGGGGAUUUGCAGGCUUUUCUUCUGUCUGCUCUCCUGAAAUGCAUUAGUGGUGUCUAAAGGUUACAGCCGCAGGUGUGAUAAAUUAUCUAUGCCUUUGGUAUGAAACAGACUGUGCUGCUUCUAAAUGAAAUGAGCCCUGCAGGCUCUUUCUUUUGAUGA
This 207-nucleotide unclassified non-coding RNA is filed under the name uncultured Agaricales. RNAcentral describes it as "sequence contains ITS2". The record is from RNAcentral. Lineage: Eukaryota; Fungi; Basidiomycota; Agaricomycetes; Agaricales.